Molecule: ribosomal RNA, 1981 nt
Filed under: human metagenome
Description: bacterial LSU rRNA
Rfam family: Bacterial large subunit ribosomal RNA
Source: RNAcentral
UUAAGUAAGGAAGGGCGUACGGCGAAUGCCUUGCCACUCGAAACUGAAGAAGGACGCGCCAAACUGCGAAAAGCUCCGUGAAGCUGUAAGGAAGCGAAGAAGCGGAGGUGUCCGAAUGGGGGAACCCGGCAGCAGACAUGAGCUGUCAUCUGCAGGUGAAUACAUGGCCUGCAAGAGAGGUACCCGGCGAACUGAAACAUCUAAGUAGCCGGAGGAAAAGAAAACAACAGUGAUUCCCUGAGUAGCGGCGAGCGAAAGGGGAGAAGCCCAAACCGGUUGAAGGACCGGGGUUGAAGGACCAUGACAUGGCAAGAACGAGGAUAGGAGAACGGGAUCGAAAGCCCGGCCGAAGAAGGUGAAAGCCCUGUAACCGAAAUCCGAGUAAAGCCUAAUGGGAUCCUGAGUACGGCGAGACACGAGAAAUCUUGUCGGAAGCAGGCGGGACCAUCCGCCAAGGCUAAAUAUAAACGAGUGAGCGAUAGUGAACCAGUACCGUGAGGGAAAGGUGAAAAGAACCGCGGGAGCGGAGUGAAAGAGAACCUGAAACCGUAUGCCUACAAGAAGUCAGAGCCCGUUAAGGGGUGAUGGCGUGCCUUUUGUAGAAUGAACCGGCGAGUUGCGACAGACUGCGAGGUUAAGGAGGAAAGACCGGAGCCGAAGCGAAAGCGAGUCUUAAGAGGGCGAAAGUAGGAUGUUGCAGACCCGAAACCGGGUGAUCUAGCCAUGAGCAGGUUGAAGUUGAGGUGAAACUCAAUGGAGGACCGAACCGACUACCGUUGAAAAGUUAGCGGAUGACUUGUGGCUAGGGGAGAAAUUCCAAUCGAACCCGGAGAUAGCUGGUUCUCCCCGAAAUAGCUUUAGGGCUAGCGUCGGAAAGAACCUUAGUGAAGGUAGAGCACUGAAUGUGUGAUGGCCCCAUCCCGGGGUACUGAAUACAAUCAAACUGCGAAUGUCAUUAAGGAUGUCCGGCAGUCAGACUGUGAGUGAUAAGGUCCAUGGUCAAGAGGGAAACAGCCCAGACCGCCAGUUAAGGUCCCAAAAUACAGGCUAAGUGGAAAAGGAUGUGGGGAUGCCCAGACAACUAGGAGGUUGGCUCAGAAGCAGCCAUCCUUUAAAGAGUGCGUAACAGCUCACUAGUCGAGUGACCCUGCGCCGAAAAUGUACCGGGGCUAAGCCUGAUACCGAAACUGCGGAUUGUAGGAAACUAUAGUGGUAGGGGAGCGUUGUAUACGAGCAGAAGCCGUACCGUGAGGAGCGGUGGAUUGUAUAGAAGUGAGAAUGCCGGUGUGAGUAGCGAGAUGUAGGUGAGAAUCCUACACACCGAAAGCCCAAGGAUUCCAGGGGAAGGUUCGUCCGCCCUGGGUAAGUCGGGACCUAACGCGAGGCCGAAAGGCGUAGUGGAUGGAAAGCAGGCGAAAGAUUCCUGCACCCGUAUAUGGAGCGAAGGAGUGACGGAGACGGAUAGUGUGACCCUCUUAAUGGAUUGAGGGCGAAGCGAAGCGGCUGGUUACCAGGCAAAUCCGGUAACCAUAAGGCUAGAGCGUGACAGGUAAGCGAAAUCUUAGGAAAGUAGCGAAGCACAUGAUGACGGCUUCCAGGAAAAGCUUCUGGCAAUGCAUAUGCGGCCCGUACCAAAACCGACACAGGUGGGCAGGGAGAGAAUCCCGAGGUGAGCGAGAGAACUGUUGCCAAGGAACUCGGCAAAAUGACUCCGUAAGUUAGCGAGAAGGAGUGCUUAAGCAAUUAAGCCGCAGUGAAGAGGCCCAAGCGACUGUUUAACUAAAACACAGCUCUCUGCGAAGUCGCAAGACGAAGUAUAGGGGGUGACACCUGCCCGGUGCUGGAAGGUUAAGAGGAUCUGUUAAGAGCGAUCUGAAGCAGUGAUCCGAAGCCCCAGUGAACGGCGGCCGUAACUAUAACGGUCCUAAGGUAGCGAAAUUCCUUGUCAGGUAAGUUCUGACCCGCACGAAAGGCGUAAUGA